GACGAACGCUGGCGGCGUGCUUAACACAUGCAAGUCGAACGAUGAAGCCCAGCUUGCUGGGUGGAUUAGUGGCGAACGGGUGAGUAACACGUGAGUAACCUGCCCUUGACUCUGGGAUAAGCGCUGGAAACGGCGUCUAAUACCGGAUACGACCUGCCCCGGCAUCGGGUGCGGGUGGAAAGUUUUUCGGUCAAGGAUGGACUCGCGGCCUAUCAGCUAGUUGGUGAGGUAAUGGCUCACCAAGGCGACGACGGGUAGCCGGCCUGAGAGGGUGACCGGCCACACUGGGACUGAGACACGGCCCAGACUCCUACGGGAGGCAGCAGUGGGGAAUAUUGCACAAUGGGCGAAAGCCUGAUGCAGCAACGCCGCGUGGGGGAUGACGGCCUUCGGGUUGUAAACCUCUUUUAGUAGGGAAGAAGGGCUUCGGCUUGACGGUACCUGCAGAAAAAGCACCGGCUAACUACGUGCCAGCAGCCGCGGUAAUACGUAGGGUGCAAGCGUUGUCCGGAAAUUUAUUGGGCGUAAGAGCUCGUAGGCGGUUUGUCGCGUCUGCUGUGAAAAACCCGAGGCUCACCUCGGGCCUGCAGUGGGUACGGGCAGACUAGAGUGCGGUAGGGGAGAAUGGAAUUCCUGGUGUAGCGGUGGAAUGCGCAGAUAUCAGGAGGAACACCGAUGGCGAAGGCAGUUCUCUGGGCCGUUACUGACGCUGAGGAGCGAAAGCGUGGGGAGCGAACAGGAUUAGAUACCCUGGUAGUCCACGCCGUAAACGUUGGGAACUAGAUGUGGGGACCUUUCCACGGUCUCCGUGUCGCAGCUAACGCAUUAAGUUCCCCGCCUGGGGAGUACGGCCGCAAGGCUAAAACUCAAAGGAAUUGACGGGGGCCCGCACAAGCGGCGGAGCAUGCGGAUUAAUUCGAUGCAACGCGAAGAACCUUACCAAGGCUUGACAUAUACCGGAAACUUCCAGAAAUGGUUGCCCCGCAAGGUCGGUAUACAGGUGGUGCAUGGUUGUCGUCAGCUCGUGUCGUGAGAUGUUGGGUUAAGUCCCGCAACGAGCGCAACCCUCGUUCUAUGUUGCCAGCACGUCAUGGUGGGAACUCAUAGGAGACUGCCGGGGUCAACUCGGAGGAAGGUGGGGAUGACGUCAAAUCAUCAUGCCCCUUAUGUCUUGGGCUUCACGCAUGCUACAAUGGCCGGUACAAAGGGCUGCGAUACCGUAAGGUGGAGCGAAUCCCAAAAAGCCGGUCUCAGUUCGGAUUGAGGUCUGCAACUCGACCUCAUGAAGUCGGAGUCGCUAGUAAUCGCAGAUCAGCAACGCUGCGGUGAAUACGUUCCCGGGCCU
This 1345-nucleotide ribosomal RNA is filed under the name uncultured bacterium. Its description in RNAcentral is "bacterial SSU rRNA". It matches the Rfam family "Bacterial small subunit ribosomal RNA", at positions 28 to 1381 of the family's 1533-position model. The record is from RNAcentral.